AGAGUUUGAUCAUGGCUCAGGAUGAACGCUAGCGGCAGGCUUAAUACAUGCAAGUCGAACGGUAACAGGCCCGCAAGGGUGCUGACGAGUGGCGGACGGGUGAGGAAUACAUCGGAAUCUGCCCGGUUGUGGGGGAUAACGUAGGGAAACUUACGCUAAUACCGCAUACGACCGAAAGGUGAAAGCGUGGGAUCCGCAAGGACCUCGCGCAGCCGGAUGAGCCGAUGUCGGAUUAGCUAGUUGGCGGGGUAAAGGCCCACCAAGGCGACGAUCCGUAGCUGGUCUGAGAGGAUGAUCAGCCACACUGGGACUGAGACACGGCCCAGACUCCUACGGGAGGCAGCAGUGGGGAAUAUUGGACAAUGGGGGCAACCCUGAUCCAGCAAUGCCGCGUGUGUGAAGAAGGCCUUCGGGUUGUAAAGCACUUUUAUCCGGAACGAAACGCGCAGGGUGAAUAGCCUUUGCGAACUGACGGUACCGGAGGAAUAAGCACCGGCUAACUUCGUGCCAGCAGCCGCGGUAAUACGAAGGGUGCAAGCGUUACUCGGAAUUACUGGGCGUAAAGCGUGCGUAGGUGGUUUGUUAAGUCUGCUGUGAAAGCCCCGGGCUCAACCUGGGAAUGGCAGUGGAUACUGGCAAGCUAGAGUGCGGUAGAGGGUAGUGGAAUUCCCGGUGUAGCGGUGAAAUGCGUAGAGAUCGGGAGGAACACCAGUGGCGAAGGCGGCUACCUGGACCAGCACUGACACUGAGGCACGAAAGCGUGGGGAGCAAACAGGAUUAGAUACCCUAGUAGUCC
Molecule: ribosomal RNA, 796 nt
Filed under: uncultured bacterium
Lineage: Bacteria
Description: bacterial SSU rRNA
Rfam family: Bacterial small subunit ribosomal RNA
Source: RNAcentral